Molecule: ribosomal RNA, 247 nt
Filed under: uncultured bacterium
Lineage: Bacteria
Description: partial 16S ribosomal RNA
Rfam family: Bacterial small subunit ribosomal RNA
Source: RNAcentral
AAUCCUGGCUCAGAUUGAACGCUGGCGGCAGGCCUAACACAUGCAAGUCGAACGGUAACAGAAAGCAGCUUGCUGCUUUGCUGACGAGUGGCGGACGGGUGAGUAAUGUCUGGGAAACUGCCUGAUGGAGGGGGAUAACUACUGGAAACGGUAGCUAAUACCGCAUAACGUCGCAAGACCAAAGAGGGGGGACCUUAGGGCCUCUUGCCAUCGGAUGUGCCCAGAUGGGAUUAGCUAGUAGGUGGGG